RNAcentral lists this ribosomal RNA (468 nucleotides) under uncultured bacterium. RNAcentral's name for it is "partial 16S ribosomal RNA". It matches the Rfam family "Bacterial small subunit ribosomal RNA", at positions 28 to 507 of the family's 1533-position model. The record is from RNAcentral.
GACGAACGCUGGCGGCGUGCUUAACACAUGCAAGUCGAACGGAAAGGCCCUGCUUUUGUGGGGUGCUCGAGUGGCGAACGGGUGAGUAACACGUGAGUAACCUGCCCUUAUCUUUGGGAUAACUUCAGGAAACUGGGGCUAAUACCGGAUAGGAGCUCCUGCUGCAUGGUGGGGGUUGGAAAGUUUCGGCGGUUGGGGAUGGACUCGCGGCUUAUCAGCUUGUUGGUGGGGUAGUGGCUUACCAAGGCUUUGACGGGUAGCCGGCCUGAGAGGGUGACCGGCCACAUUGGGACUGAGAUACGGACCAGACUCCUACGGGAGGCAGCAGUGGGGAAUAUUGCACAAUGGGCGGAAGCCUGAUGCAGCAACGCCGCGUGCGGGAUGACGGCCUUCGGGUUGUAAACCGCUUUCGCCUGUGACGAAGCGUGAGUGACGGUAAUGGGUAAAGAAGCACCGGCUAACUACGUG